RNAcentral lists this non-coding RNA (116 nucleotides) under Arthrobacter saudimassiliensis. Its description in RNAcentral is "SAM-IV". It matches the Rfam family "SAM (S-adenosyl methionine) riboswitch aptamer". From Rfam's summary of the family: SAM-IV is a mRNA element that regulates gene expression via direct sensing of S-adenosylmethionine (SAM or AdoMet). Lineage: Bacteria; Bacillati; Actinomycetota; Actinomycetes; Micrococcales; Micrococcaceae. The record is from RNAcentral.
GGUCAUGAGUGCCAGCACGAAGCCCCGGCUUGCUGGCCGGCAACCCUCCAACCGCGGUGGGGUGCCCCGGGUGAAGACCAGGCCCGGCGCCAUAAGGCGUCCGGCAAGCGCGGGUC